Molecule: unclassified non-coding RNA, 319 nt
Filed under: Spizellomyces dolichospermus
Lineage: Eukaryota; Fungi; Chytridiomycota; Chytridiomycetes; Spizellomycetales; Spizellomycetaceae
Also listed under: 1 other name
Description: partial internal transcribed spacer region
Rfam family: Eukaryotic small subunit ribosomal RNA (bases 1-46)
Source: RNAcentral
AAGUCGUAACAAGGUAACCGUAGGUGAACCUGCGGUUGGAUCAUUAAAAAAAUCAAAAGCCUGUCAUCGAGUACCGCUUUGUCAAGCGCAAAGCUGGGGAAAAAUGAAUGUUGGCACCACAUCUUGUGAACCGUAUUUGUCUUUGGUGGUUGGGCGGUUGCUUGUUUCAAGCUUCCGUCUGUCAGCUUGUGUUUUACAAUGCAAGCCGUGGACAAGCCACCGUCUGUUUGUUCAAACCUAAUUGUCUUCUUUUUUUUUUGUCUAACAUUCUUUUGUAUAAAUAUACAAACAACUUUUGGCAACGGAUCUCUUGGUUCUC